GGCUCAGAACGAACGCUGGCGGCAGGCUUAACACAUGCAAGUCGAGCGCCCCGCAAGGGGAGCGGCAGACGGGUGAGUAACGCGUGGGAACGUACCUUUUGYUACGGAAUAACUCAGGGAAACUUGUGCUAAUACCGUAUGUGCCCUUCGGGGGAAAGAUUUAUCGGCAAAGGAUCGGCCCGCGUUGGAUUAGCUAGUUGGUGAGGUAAAGGCUCACCAAGGCGACGAUCCAUAGCUGGUCUGAGAGGAUGAUCAGCCACACUGGGACUGAGACACGGCCCAGACUCCUACGGGAGGCAGCAGUGGGGAAUAUUGGACAAUGGGCGCAAGCCUGAUCCAGCCAUNCCGCGUGAGUGAUGAAGGCCCUAGGGUUGUAAAGCUCUUUCACC
This 389-nucleotide ribosomal RNA is filed under the name Ochrobactrum sp. R-26892. RNAcentral describes it as "bacterial SSU rRNA". It matches the Rfam family "Bacterial small subunit ribosomal RNA", at positions 21 to 440 of the family's 1533-position model. Lineage: Bacteria; Pseudomonadati; Pseudomonadota; Alphaproteobacteria; Hyphomicrobiales; Brucellaceae. The record is from RNAcentral.